This 353-nucleotide long non-coding RNA is filed under the name Panicum hallii. Its description in RNAcentral is "long non-coding RNA (PHAL_LNC000596)". The record is from RNAcentral. Lineage: Eukaryota; Viridiplantae; Streptophyta; Magnoliopsida; Poales; Poaceae.
GCGGUAUCGUAUAUAUCGUGCUCGUCUCGGGAUACCUCGUGUACGUUGUGCCUAAUAAGAACCUGCCUGCGCCUCUGCUGCUGUCAUGUGACCAGCAACCUGUAGCUACCUACCUGCUGGCUGGCUGUGUGACCUAUAGCUAGCUAGCUAGCUAGCUUAGCUCCAGGGCUCUGUUAUGUGCAAUGAAAUCUACUGUGUGGUUUGACUACUAAAAAGUAAAUUGAGCGUCGGCUAAUCAGUCUAACGGUUACUUUUCAUGUACAACUAAAACUCUGAAGCUAAUAAAAUUCACUGAUGUAACAGGCAGUAGCUAACUCCGGUACACCAGAUGUUAUACUGAUACGUGUGAGCUU